GAAGUUUCAAAAGCUUCCCCCUAGAUCAAAUCAAGACAGUCUUUGGGUAUCAUCUUGUUCUCCAGAGCAUGUCCUGGAGAGAAGGCAAUUUAAGGUGAAAUUACCUUGUUGAGAAUGUCUUGGCAUUAUUUUUUAUUUCUUCCUCGUGCAGCUCAUCUUUUGGGUACAUAAGCAUAUUGGAAAGGAUAAUUUUGUUGUAUUUUGCCUUUGGCAAACUUGAGAUGACAAACAGAUGAUAUGCUUUUUGUCUCGUAGAUUUGAUCAGAGUAUAGUCCGUGCAACGCUAAGCGUUGUUCCUGCAAAACUUUGCCCUGUGCAAUCCAUUCCAGCAAAUUGAUCAAGAGCAGACGGAUUCGACUUGUUACUUUAACCACUUGAUGCAACUCUAUUGGUCCGUUUAGCCCUUCGAUUGUAUCCCAUAAUAAAAUCUCUCUGAUAAACAUCUUGUCGAUGAUUCGAUUUUAACAUAUUAUUUAUAAUCUUCGUGUGCGCUUUUCGCCUGGCUUUUGUCGAUGAUUCGAUUUUAAUGUUGAGUCCUUUAUCACUGUAAUGUCAGCCUAGACUUGUGAACAGAAUACUUGGUGUUUGAUUGGGUUCGAACAUUUUGCAUCAAAAGAUAUCCAAGGCGCAUGCAAUCAUGAACCAAAUACUCAAAGUAGACAGGCAGC
Molecule: long non-coding RNA, 668 nt
Filed under: Nicotiana benthamiana
Lineage: Eukaryota; Viridiplantae; Streptophyta; Magnoliopsida; Solanales; Solanaceae
Description: long non-coding RNA (NBEN_LNC004916)
Source: RNAcentral